UGUGAUGUAGCUCAGUUGGGAGAGCACUUGCCUAGCAUGCACAAAACCCUGGGUUCAAUCCCAAGUACCACAU
This 73-nucleotide transfer RNA is filed under the name Cricetulus griseus (Chinese hamster). It matches the Rfam family "tRNA". From Rfam's summary of the family: Transfer RNA (tRNA) molecules are approximately 80 nucleotides in length. The record is from Rfam by way of RNAcentral. Lineage: Eukaryota; Metazoa; Chordata; Mammalia; Rodentia; Cricetidae.